UACGGGGGGGGCAAGCGUUGUUCGGAAUUACUGGGCGUAAAGGGCGCGUAGGCGGCCGCCUAAGUCAGACGUGAAAUCCCUCGGCUCAACCGGGGAACUGCGUCUGAUACUGGGUGGCUUGAAUCCGGGAGAGGGAUGCGGAAUUCCAGGUGUAGCGGUGAAAUGCGUAGAUAUCAGGAGGAACACCGGUGGCGAAGGCGGGUCUCUGGGCCGAUACUGACGCUGAGGAGCGAAAGCGUGGGGAGCGAACAGG
This 253-nucleotide ribosomal RNA is filed under the name uncultured bacterium. RNAcentral's name for it is "partial 16S ribosomal RNA". It matches the Rfam family "Bacterial small subunit ribosomal RNA", at positions 524 to 776 of the family's 1533-position model. The record is from RNAcentral.